UGGAAGCUGGUAACACCUGAAGCCGGUGGACCAACUCUGCAGUAAUGUAGAGAGGUAGCUGUCGAGGGUGGGAUUAGUGACUGGGACG
This 88-nucleotide ribosomal RNA is filed under the name uncultured bacterium. Its description in RNAcentral is "partial 16S ribosomal RNA". The record is from RNAcentral.